UAGUGAGUUUGAUCCUGGCUCAGAUUGAACGCUGGCGGCAUGCUUUACACAUGCAAGUCGAACGGCAGCGCGGGGCAACCUGGCGGCGAGUGGCGAACGGGUGAGUAAUAUAUCGGAACGUACCCAAGAGUGGGGGAUAACGUAGCGAAAGUUACGCUAAUACCGCAUACGAUCUAAGGAUGAAAGUGGGGGAUCGCAAGACCUCAUGCUCCUGGAGCGGCCGAUAUCUGAUUAGCUAGUUGGGUGAGGUAAACGGCUCACC
This 262-nucleotide ribosomal RNA is filed under the name uncultured Oxalobacteraceae bacterium. RNAcentral describes it as "partial 16S ribosomal RNA". It matches the Rfam family "Bacterial small subunit ribosomal RNA", at positions 1 to 269 of the family's 1533-position model. Lineage: Bacteria; Pseudomonadati; Pseudomonadota; Betaproteobacteria; Burkholderiales; Oxalobacteraceae. The record is from RNAcentral.